This 200-nucleotide ribosomal RNA is filed under the name uncultured bacterium. RNAcentral describes it as "partial 16S ribosomal RNA". It matches the Rfam family "Bacterial small subunit ribosomal RNA", at positions 28 to 231 of the family's 1533-position model. The record is from RNAcentral.
GACGAACGCUGGCGGCGUGCUUAACACAUGCAAGUCGAACGGUGAACCGCUUUCGGGCGGGGAUCAGUGGCGAACGGGUGAGUAACACGUGGGUAACCUGCCCUCCACUCUGGGAUAACUCCGGGAAACCGGGGCUAAUACCGGAUACGACCUUCUCCGGCAUCGGAGAGGGUGGAAAGUUUUUCGGUGGAGGAUGGACC